UGUGCCGGGGUGGGCAGGCCCUAUGGCCGACUAACCCUAAUGGCGGCCGCGCCCCUCACGCUCGCCCGCUGUUUUACUCGCUGACUUUCAGCGGGCGAAGGAAGCGGCCCAGGGGAAAGGGGGUGGGGGAAAAGAGUUCCGGCCUCAAAAAAAGCCAGCGAGGGGGAUCCACACCCCGGCCCACCCUGGGGUCCCUGUCCCUUCUCCGAAACCGGGGAUGCUCCUGCCCUCGCCCCUCGUGGAGGCCGCGGUCGGCGGGCUCAGCGCCGCUGCCGCCGCGAAGAGUUCGGCUCUGUCAGCCUCGGCGGCGGCCGGGAGCAGAGGGCCGGCGCGCCCACCCUGGGCAGCCGGGGGACCCCAGCAGAACAAAACGGGCGCGGCGCCGCUGGGCGCUGAGCAGCCGCCGCCCCCCGAGACGUGGGGUGCGCGGCCGGCGCCGCCCCGACACCC
This 450-nucleotide telomerase RNA is filed under the name Junco hyemalis (dark-eyed junco). Its description in RNAcentral is "Vertebrate telomerase RNA (ENSJHYG00000004681.1)". It matches the Rfam family "Vertebrate telomerase RNA". From Rfam's summary of the family: Telomerase is a ribonucleoprotein reverse transcriptase that synthesises telomeric DNA. Telomerase RNAs differ greatly in sequence and structure between vertebrates, ciliates and yeasts, but they share a 5' pseudoknot structure close to the template sequence. Vertebrate telomerase RNAs have a 3' H/ACA snoRNA-like domain. The record is from Rfam by way of RNAcentral. Lineage: Eukaryota; Metazoa; Chordata; Aves; Passeriformes; Passerellidae.